Molecule: long non-coding RNA, 400 nt
Filed under: Numida meleagris (helmeted guineafowl)
Lineage: Eukaryota; Metazoa; Chordata; Aves; Galliformes; Numididae
Description: lncRNA (ENSNMEG00000012228.1)
Source: RNAcentral
CAAAAGCCUUGACUAUCACUAAAGAAAAUAUCAGCAAGAAAUAGACAAACUUCAAUUACAGGAGAUUGUGUCAUGCUGGCAUUGGCUGACAGCUUAGCUGUCCAAGCUCCUUGUACACUCAGGAAAGAGAGACCUCUGUGGAAGGCAAUUCAUGCCAGACUAAGAAAACUGAUCAAGAUGAAAGGAAUAAAUAGCUCUCAGGAGAAUGCCUGCCUUUAUGUACUUAUGGAAGAAGAUGGCUAAUCCUAGAUGCUCAGCUGUGUUAACGCCUAGAUGUAAAGGACUCAGAAAAAGUCAUUGGAUGAAAGCACUGAUUUGGACGCCGUCUGUGAGGCAAAUUUGGUUCUCCAUUAACAAGUUACAGCAAGAGAAAUUGGAACAAGGGAUAAAUGAGAUAUGA